Molecule: ribosomal RNA, 443 nt
Filed under: uncultured bacterium
Lineage: Bacteria
Description: partial 16S ribosomal RNA
Rfam family: Bacterial small subunit ribosomal RNA
Source: RNAcentral
CCUACGGGAGGCAGCAGUGGGGAAUAUUGGGCAAUGGGCGCAAGCCUGACCCAGCAACGCCGCGUGAAGGAAGAAGGCUUUCGGGUUGUAAACUUCUUUUCUCAGGGACGAAGCAAGUGACGGUACCUGAGGAAUAAGCCACGGCUAACUACGUGCCAGCAGCCGCGGUAAUACGUAGGUGGCAAGCGUUAUCCGGAUUUACUGGGGGUAAAGGGCGGGUAGGGGGGAAAUAAAGUCAGAUGUGAAAACCAUGGGCUCAACCUGUGGCCUGCAUUUGAAACUGUUUUUCUUGAGUACUGGAGAGGCAGACGGAAUUCCUAGUGUAGCGGUGAAAUGCGUAGAUAUUAGGAGGAACACCAGUGGCGAAGGCGGUCUGCUGGACAGCAACUGACGCUGAGGCGCGAAAGCGUGGGGAGCAAACAGGAUGAGAUACCCCAGUAGUC